Molecule: long non-coding RNA, 566 nt
Filed under: Triticum aestivum (bread wheat)
Lineage: Eukaryota; Viridiplantae; Streptophyta; Magnoliopsida; Poales; Poaceae
Description: long non-coding RNA (TAES_LNC023724)
Source: RNAcentral
UGGAGGUCGUCAGCGUCUACAUCAUCGUCGUCCACGACGGCGGCGGCCUCGAUGCAUGUGGCCGGGGUCGUCUCAGCUGCGCCACGCUCCACGCAAGGAGGUCCAGACCGACCAGCCGUCGGCUCGCUCCAUGAUGCAGGCGUCGGCAAGCUCGAAAGUCUCGCCGACCUGGGCUCCUCCUUCAGCGGCGCCAGAAUCCCCUAUAGCUCAGCGACGCUGGCCUCCACUCCGGCAAUGGCCGCUGCCCUACAAGCGCUAGGUCCUGGCGCGGCACCAGUAGAUGCGUUGCCUGCACGAGGAUGUUGCAGGCUACAGGUUCGUUCGUUGGACAUUUGAGCUCUCUUAUCACUAGUCGGGUGGAUAGUUGAAACUUUCAAUGUGCAAUCAAAUUACAUAGUUCAUUUUUUUUCACAUGGCAAUUUUUGUUGUGUUCACUUGUGUGGAAGCUGUGGAAGAUGAAUGCCCUAGCAUUUUUGCAUACCAUGUCAUUUUGAGGUCAUGGAAGCAUGGCAAUUGUAGUUUAUAAACAUCACUCAUGAGUUCAUUUUUUUCACAUGGCAACUUUU